GACGAACGCUGGCGGCGUGCUUAACACAUGCAAGUCGAACGGUAAGGCCCCAGCUUGCUGGGGUACACGAGUGGCGAACGGGUGAGUAACACGUGGGUGACCUGCCCCGCACUUCGGGAUAAGCCUGGGAAACUGGGUCUAAUACCGGAUAGGACCGCACCGUGAGGGUGUGGCGGAAAGUUUUUCGGUGUGGGGUGGGCCCGCGGCCUAUCAGCUUGUUGGUGGGGUAGUGGCUUACCAAGGCUUUGACGGGUAGCCGGCCUGAGAGGGUGACCGGCCACAUUGGGACUGAGAUACGGCCCAG
Molecule: ribosomal RNA, 304 nt
Filed under: uncultured bacterium
Lineage: Bacteria
Description: bacterial SSU rRNA
Rfam family: Bacterial small subunit ribosomal RNA
Source: RNAcentral